Molecule: long non-coding RNA, 1194 nt
Organism: Tyto alba (common barn owl)
Lineage: Eukaryota; Metazoa; Chordata; Aves; Strigiformes; Tytonidae
Exons: 3
Source: RefSeq, a predicted model, not a curated record
CCCCCCUCCCCGCCCCGCAAUUUUUCCUCGCUCGAGGGGAGCGUGGGGUGUGCUGCCGGCCUCUCUGAGUCGGCCCUAGCAGCGUCUUUUUCCGUUCUGUGCUUGCUUUGGUAUAAAUUAUCCGAGCUGCGAGACAUUCUGCGUACAGGACAAUGUAAUGCUUUGUCAGAGGUCUGAGUGCCCUGCGGGGUGGUUGGAAGGUGCAGUUCAAGGCUGGAUUAUCUCCAUCUGUCUUCCCUUUCCAGAUGGUCAGUCCAGAAGGUCCCAGGAUGAUCACACAGGAAAAUCCAGAGGAGAGCUGUGCCCCCAGUACCCUCCCUGCACCAUGCAGAAGACCUCAGACAGGGUUUUAUCCAGGGACUCCCAAGGGAUGUGUAGCUUUAAGUAAAGGCUUUGAGUUUGAAUGGCAGGAAUGCUUCCAAGCUGAACAGCACAUCAUGGAUCAGCAGAAGUGUUGAGACAACACAGUCUCGCUACAUGGCGAGGACAAGAUGGCUGAUCAUUUGUAAGAACGUAAACAAGGAUAGGAUCUGAGGGGCCAAUAAAAACUUUUAAAAUCAGGGACAGUGGAAUCGAAAUAUGUUAGGAGUGGGGAAGAUUCAGUAUAACCAACAAGCUCUUCCUUGACAUCUGAACAACUUGCAUCCAAUGCUGUUCAUGACAAAACCUGAGAGCAAUGUGGUCCUUCAAAUCCAAACUCGUGUCCUGCAGCCAAGGCCACCCAUUGCCCUUGGUCACAGUGGGAAGGACACCCAGGCACAUACGGAUGCAGAGGAGAGGCAGCCUGCAGAGAGAGCUGUUGUGGCAACAACAAAAUGUGAGCAAGUUAGCACCGAGAGGUGGUAAUCAUCAGCUGAUGGCUGGCUAAUCAGAGCUUUAUCAUCAUGUGAAUAAAAAUGAAGGACUCUUGCCCCCAUAAUGCUUGUUAGAGCUCCCAACAAAGGUACGUGACUACAUUUGCCAUAAGCCCCUAUGUAUUUGGCAGUGGGACUGAGCCUAAGGAUUUUGAUUAAACAUACUACCACCCACUACAAUUAAUAAUCAUACUGGAUACCAAAAUCAAAUAAACAAUGUAAGUAUUGGUUUUGUGUUACAUUUCAAUUUCUGGGUCAUCAUUUGUAUGUGCCAUGCGUGAUCUGCUGUAAUUCUCAUUCCCCUAUCUCUACUUGCCACAGUCUUCCACUCUGUUAUUCU